GACGAACGCUGGCGGCGUGCCUAACACGUGCAAGUCGAGCGGAGACAGUGAGUAGCUUACUAUGAGCUGUUUUAGCGGCGGACGGGUGAGUAACGCGUGAGCAACCUUUCCCAGACAGGGGAAUAACACACCGAAAGGUGUACUAAUACCGCAUAAGACCACGGUUUCACAUGGAACUGAGGUAAAAGAUUUAUCGGUUUGGGGUGGGCUCGCGUCCGAUUAGGUAGUUGGUGAGGUAACGGCCCACCAAGCCGACGAUCGGUAGCCGACCUGAGAGGGUGAUCGGCCACAUUGGGACUGAGACACGGCCCAAACUCCUACGGGAGGCAGCAGUGGGGAAUAUUGGGCAAUGGAGGAAACUCUGACCCAGCAACGCCGCGUGGAGGAAGAAGGUUUUCGGAUCGUAAACUCCUGUCCU
This 418-nucleotide ribosomal RNA is filed under the name uncultured bacterium. Its description in RNAcentral is "bacterial SSU rRNA". It matches the Rfam family "Bacterial small subunit ribosomal RNA", at positions 28 to 439 of the family's 1533-position model. The record is from RNAcentral.